Molecule: small nucleolar RNA, 92 nt
Organism: Quercus robur (English oak)
Lineage: Eukaryota; Viridiplantae; Streptophyta; Magnoliopsida; Fagales; Fagaceae
Product: small nucleolar RNA R24
Exons: 1
Source: RefSeq, a predicted model, not a curated record
UAAGCGGUGAUGAUCAGCUAACAUAUAAGAAAAUCCUGCUGUGUGUGGGAUUUUCAAUGAAAUACAUUUGUUACGCUUGGCUUCUGAGCUUC